UUGUGCCUACGGGGGGCAGCAGUGGGGAAUAUUGCACAAUGGGGGGAACCCUGAUGCAGCGACGCCGCGUGGGUGAAGGAGUACUUCGGUACGUAAAGCCCUAUCAGCAGGAAAGAAAAUGACGGUACCUGACUAAGAAGCCCCGGCUAACUACGUGCCAGCAGCCGCGGUAAUACGUAGGGGGCAAGCGUUAUCCGGAUUUACUGGGUGUAAAGGGAGCGUAGACGGCGAUGCAAGUCUGAAGUGAAAGGCGGGGGCCCAACCCCCGGACUGCUUUGGAAACUGUAUGGCUGGA
RNAcentral lists this ribosomal RNA (295 nucleotides) under uncultured bacterium. RNAcentral's name for it is "partial 16S ribosomal RNA". It matches the Rfam family "Bacterial small subunit ribosomal RNA", at positions 333 to 645 of the family's 1533-position model. The record is from RNAcentral.